AACGUAGGAGACAAACGUUAUCCGGAGUUACUGGGCGUAAAGGGCGUGUAGGGGGUUACGUAAGUCUGGCGUGAAAUUUCUCGGCUUAACCGAGGCAGGUCGUCGGAUACUGCGAGACUAGAGGACGGUAGAGGCGUGUGGAAUUCCGGGUGUAGUGGUGAAAUGCGUAGAGAUCCGGAAGAACACCGGUGGCGAAGGCGGCCUGCUGGGCAGUUUUGCUGACACUGAGGCGCGACAGCGUGGGGAGCAAACAGG
Molecule: ribosomal RNA, 255 nt
Filed under: uncultured bacterium
Lineage: Bacteria
Description: partial 16S ribosomal RNA
Rfam family: Bacterial small subunit ribosomal RNA
Source: RNAcentral